UUUUCAUUUUUUUACAAAAUCCGUUACGAAAUGAAAAAGAAGUUAUGUGGCGGCCGAAUAAUGGGGCAUUCUGGCUAUAUGCGGGAACAUCUGGAGUAUCCAAAAGUACCUGAUCGAAGGGUAAAAAUCUUUUGGUGCAGACAAUCCGCAGGGAAGUCGCAUGAAAAUGCGACCCCUCAACGACUACACGCCGGAGUCGCUUAAAAAGCGAUGUGAUAUAGUCUGAUCUUUGCGGCGACGCAAAG
Molecule: non-coding RNA, 245 nt
Filed under: Parcubacteria group bacterium GW2011_GWF1_45_5
Lineage: Bacteria
Description: self-splicing intron
Rfam family: Group I catalytic intron
About the family: Group I catalytic introns are large self-splicing ribozymes. They catalyse their own excision from mRNA, tRNA and rRNA precursors in a wide range of organisms.
Source: RNAcentral